UGAUCAUCUGUAGUGAUUACACAUAAGCGUGAUAGAGUAAGUUUACAGAAAAUAUAACGAUUUUGAGUGAUUAACCAAUAAACAAAAUGACAGAAAAUAAGGUCAGAAAUAGUAUAAGCACCUCAUUGUCGAAUAAAACGUUUCACAGAAAAGGUAAGAAUUACAGCGUGGAUUGAACUCAUAAACAAAGAAAUAAAAGGAAAAAGAAAAGGAAUAGUGAAAGCAAUCAAUAAAGAUACUUUCAAAGGAUCAUCAUUGCUCCCUUUAUUGCUUAUACUUUCACAUAGAUAUCCGGUGCGUUCAGUAAUUUUUGCCUUGGGAGUACAGCGAUAAUAAAGAAAUAGAAAAAUGUACAAAUAUAUGGAUUUUGAAUACAUUAUUUAGAGUUAUAAAAUAAAAAAUAAUUUAAUUAUUGUUUUUUCUAUGUCUAAAUGUGUGCCUAUACAAAAAUUACCAUUGGUGGCGUAAAUGCAUCUAUAUCGAUAGGCAUUCGUAAUGCCUUGGUGUUAUAUACCCAAUGGAAAUUAAAAAUAAAACCUCACUCACUAGCUAACAUUAUCUUUGCAUGUCAUAG
RNAcentral lists this long non-coding RNA (574 nucleotides) under Cicer arietinum (chickpea). RNAcentral's name for it is "long non-coding RNA (CARI_LNC000914)". The record is from RNAcentral. Lineage: Eukaryota; Viridiplantae; Streptophyta; Magnoliopsida; Fabales; Fabaceae.